CUCUAAUAUCAAUCUAGAUUAUUUAUUUUAUGGAAUAAAUACAAUGAAAUAUUAGAUAUUAAAGAGGUUUAUUCCUUCCUAAUUUAGGUAAAAAUGUAUCAGCAAAUUAUGUAUUAGUAGUUAUUAUGAAAAUAUGUAAUUUAGC
This 145-nucleotide non-coding RNA is filed under the name unclassified sequences. RNAcentral's name for it is "RT-14 RNA". It matches the Rfam family "RT-14 RNA". From Rfam's summary of the family: Cloacimonetes, Firmicutes, Proteobacteria. Nearby to self-splicing intron genes The record is from Rfam by way of RNAcentral.